This 1947-nucleotide ribosomal RNA is filed under the name human gut metagenome. RNAcentral's name for it is "bacterial LSU rRNA". It matches the Rfam family "Bacterial large subunit ribosomal RNA", at positions 1 to 1977 of the family's 2925-position model. The record is from RNAcentral.
UUAAGUGACUAAGCGUACAAGGUGGAUGCCUUGGCAAUCAGAGGCGACGAAGGACGUGCUAAUCUGCGAAAAGCUUGGAUGAGUCGAUAAGAGGCGUUUAAUCCAAGAUGUCCGAAUGGGGAAACCCAGUAGAUGAAGAAUCUACUAUCACUUACUGAAUCCAUAGGUAAGUGAGGCAAACCGGGAGAACUGAAACAUCUAAGUACCCCGAGGAAAAGAAAUCAACCGAGAUUUCGUUAGUAGCGGCGAGCGAACGCGAAGGAGCCUGUUAGUGAUAAUGACAGAGACAGAGGAACAAGCUGGGAAGCUUGGCGAUACAGGGUGAUAGCCCCGUACUCGAAGUCCAGGUCAUGGUACUAAGCUAACGACAAGUAGGGCGGGACACGUGAUAUCCUGUUUGAAGAUGGGGGGACCAUCCUCCAAGGCUAAAUACUCCUGAUUGACCGAUAGUGAACCAGUACUGUGAAGGAAAGGCGAAAAGAACCCCGGUGAGGGGAGUGAAAUAGAACCUGAAACCUUGUACGUACAAGCAGUGGGAGCCCUUUAAGGGUGACUGCGUACCUUUUGUAUAAUGGGUCAGCGACUUAUAUUUUGUAGCGAGGUUAACCGAAUAGGGGAGCCGAAGGGAAACCGAGUCUUAACUGGGCGUCUAGUUGCAAGGUAUAGACCCGAAACCCGGUGAUCUAGCCAUGGGCAGGUUGAAGGUUGGGUAACACUAACUGGAGGACCGAACCGACUAAUGUUGAAAAAUUAGCGGAUGACUUGUGGCUGGGGGUGAAAGGCCAAUCAAACCGGGAGAUAGCUGGUUCUCCCCGAAAUCUAUUUAGGUAGAGCCUUGAGCGGACACCUUCGGGGGUAGAGCACUGUUUCGGCUAGGGGUCCAUCCCGGAUUACCAACCCGAUGCAAACUACGAAUACCGAAGAGUGAUACUCAGGAGACACACGGCGGGUGCUAACGUCCGUCGUGGAGAGGGAAACAACCCAGACCGCCAGCUAAGGUCCCAAAGUCUAUAUUAAGUGGGAAACGAAGUGGGAAGGCUUAGACAGCUAGGAUGUUGGCUUAGAAGCAGCCAUCAUUUAAAGAAAGCGUAAUAGCUCACUAGUCGAGUCGGCCUGCGCGGAAGAUGUAACGGGGCUCAAAUAUAGCACCGAAGCUGCGGCAUCAGACGUAAGUCUGUUGGGUAGGGGAGCGUUCUGUAAGCGGAUGAAGGUGGCUCGAGAGGGCUGCUGGACGUAUCAGAAGUGCGAAUGCUGACAUAAGUAACGAUAAAACGGGUGAAAAACCCGUUCGCCGGAAGACCAAGGGUUCCUGUCCAACGUUAAUCGGGGCAGGGUGAGUCGGCCCCUAAGGCGAGGCUGAAAAGCGUAGUCGAUGGGAAACGGGUUAAUAUUCCCGUACUUGGAUAAACUGCGAUGUGGGGACGGAGCAGGUUAGGUUAUCGCACUGUUGGAUAUGUGCGUUUAAGUUUGUAGGUGAGAAGUUUAGGCAAAUCCGGACUUCUUUAACACUGAGAGAUGAUGACGAGGCUCUACGGAGCUGAAGUAACCGAUACCACACUUCCAGGAAAAGCCACUAAGCUUCAGGUUUAUCUAAACCGUACUGAAAACCGACACAGGUGGUCAGGUAGAGAAUACUCAGGCGCUUGAGAGAACUCGGGUGAAGGAACUAGGCAAAAUAGCACCGUAACUUCGGGAGAAGGUGCGCCGGCGUAGAUUGUAGUCCCUUGCGGGCGAAGGUUGAACCGGUCGAAGAUACCAGCUGGCUGCAACUGUUUAUUAAAAACACAGCACUCUGCAAACACGAAAGUGGACGUAUAGGGUGUGAUGCCUGCCCGGUGCUGGAAGGUUAAUUGAUGGUGUAAUCGAAAGAGAAGCUCCUGAUCGAAGCCCCAGUAAACGGCGGCCGUAACUAUAACGGUCCUAAGGUAGCGAAAUUCCUUGUCGGGU